AUUGAACGCUGGCGGCAGGCCUAACACAUGCAAGUCGAACGGUAGCACAGAGAGCUUGCUCUCGGGUGACGAGUGGCGGUCGGGUGAGUAAUGUCUGGGAAACUGCCCGAUGGAGGGGGAUAACUACUGGAAACGGUAGCUAAUACCGCAUAACGUCUUCGGACCAAAGUGGGGGACCUUCGGGCCUCACACCAUCGGAUGUGCCCAGAUGGGAUUAGCUAGUAGGUGGGGUAAUGGCUCACCUAGGCGACGAUCCCUAGCUGGUCUGAGAGGAUGACCAGCUACACUGGAACUGAGACACGGUCCAGACUCCUACGGGAGGCAGCAGUGGGGAAUAUUGCACAAUGGGCGCAAGCCUGAUGCAGCCAUGCCGCGUGUAUGAAGAAGGCCUUCGGGUUGUAAAGUACUUUCAGCGGGGAGGAAGGCGGUGAAGUUACUAGCUUCAUCGAUUGACGUUACCCGCAGAAGAAGCACCGGCUAACUCCGUGCCAGCCGCCGCCGUAA
This 504-nucleotide ribosomal RNA is filed under the name uncultured bacterium. Its description in RNAcentral is "partial 16S ribosomal RNA". It matches the Rfam family "Bacterial small subunit ribosomal RNA", at positions 30 to 523 of the family's 1533-position model. The record is from RNAcentral.